GCAGGGGGCACAGUGGUUAGAACAUUUGCCUCACACCUCCAGGGUUGGGGGUUCAAUUCCCACGUCUCUGCU
Ameiurus melas (black bullhead) is the source of this 72-nucleotide non-coding RNA. Lineage: Eukaryota; Metazoa; Chordata; Actinopteri; Siluriformes; Ictaluridae. The record is from the annotation of a GenBank genome assembly.